Molecule: non-coding RNA, 585 nt
Organism: Neolamprologus brichardi
Lineage: Eukaryota; Metazoa; Chordata; Actinopteri; Cichliformes; Cichlidae
Source: RefSeq, a predicted model, not a curated record
UUUUUUGUUUGUUUCUCCCUUAAAUGCCCGUGAAGCUACAGUCUUCAUUAAAACGUGGAAGGUUCGCUGUGAUGAUGUUUUUCCUGCCAUUCGUAGUUUCCACCAGAGGUUUAAACACCGAAGAUGGUUCAAGUCUUCCUUGGAUGUCUGAGCGAACAUUAGAGGAUUGUAGCUCUACUUUUGAAUGUCUUUGUUCUAAGAACUAAAUUGUAUUCUCCCUUUCAGGGAGAUAAUUGCCGCGGAUACGAGGCUACUCUGUGGAUUCUCCAGGCUGUUAAAGCUGGCCGGACGUCAACAUUGAUGGACCUGCAAUCAAACAUGAGUCAGCUGUGUAGGGUUUUUUUUUUGUUUGUUUUGUAGGUUGAAGUUUGAAAGAUGGCUGUCAUCUAAUCUUAAAAAUAAAAUGAAUCUUAAACAGAAAACAAGCUAGCAGUUUUGUGAGUGUAAAUGAGAUGUUUUUAGUUCUGAAAUAACUGAUUUUUGCUUUCCAUACAUGCUGGCAAAGACAGACUAUGUGUUUAGCUUUUUGUAUUUUUACUUGUACAUAAUUUUUAAAGUAAUAAAGAUCCAAUAGGUGUGGAAAAA